Non-coding RNA from Armillaria novae-zelandiae, 95 nucleotides. The record is from the annotation of a GenBank genome assembly. Lineage: Eukaryota; Fungi; Basidiomycota; Agaricomycetes; Agaricales; Physalacriaceae.
GUCAUGGUGGCCGAGUAGUUAAGGCGAGUGAUUUGAACGAAGACAGUAUUAUCACUUGGUGUUUCACCGCGUAGGUUCAAAUCCUGCCCAUGACG